This 26-nucleotide unclassified non-coding RNA is filed under the name Mus musculus (house mouse). RNAcentral describes it as "oocyte_clustered_small_RNA10334". Lineage: Eukaryota; Metazoa; Chordata; Mammalia; Rodentia; Muridae. The record is from RNAcentral.
UACAAGGAUGGCACAGCAGUUAAGAG